GUAAUAUCUCACUAUUAUGAGGUGAGUAGGGGGUGUCAAUUUUAAAAAUUUCAUAUAUAUAUACAUGUACGUAUAUUUUACGUGAAGUGCAAAAUUUAUGGAAAGCAUGCGUUGAUAGAAUUUUAAGGAAUUGUGGGUGUAAGUUAUUUUUAGAAAUCAUUUGAAAUAUAUAUAUAUAUAUAUAUUAGACGUAAAGUGUUUUAAACCGGGAAACAAGCUUUUCGAAAAGAUUUACAUCAAAGGAAAUUGUGCCUUAUUGUUUGUGUGGUGUGCAUUCAUGAAAUUUAUUACAUAUUCACCAUGCUAUUUUGAUACAAAAUAUCAUGCAAAUAUUUACAAUGAACAUUUUAUGAAAAGAGAGUUUUAACAUGAUGUGGGGAUCGAUAUUUUGAGAAAGAUUUAAAAUAUCCCCUUGAAGAUCAAAUUUGAAUUCUUUUAAAAGGUGAUUUCAUUUUAAUCAAGAAAUUCAAG
Molecule: long non-coding RNA, 471 nt
Filed under: Theobroma cacao (cacao)
Lineage: Eukaryota; Viridiplantae; Streptophyta; Magnoliopsida; Malvales; Malvaceae
Description: long non-coding RNA (TCAC_LNC002431)
Source: RNAcentral